Long non-coding RNA from Oncorhynchus tshawytscha (Chinook salmon), 1918 nucleotides. RefSeq lists it as uncharacterized. The record is from RefSeq and is a predicted model, not a curated record. The transcript has 2 exons. Lineage: Eukaryota; Metazoa; Chordata; Actinopteri; Salmoniformes; Salmonidae.
AGGUCUAUACUGUUCCUGCUAAUAAUAUUUGUGUAAUUCUCAAAACUUUUGGCCAGGACUGUACAUUUUACUCAACUGCGUUACACUGGUGAGUAAAAACUCAGGCGUCUGAUUCCUACCCUUUAACUUGUCUGAAAAUAAAAUAAACAUUUUACUCAACUGCGUUUCCCACUCCAGUCAGCAGAGGGCGGUCUGGGAAUUUAAGAUUAUGCUAUUGGUGUGACGUAUAAUCUAGUGGACGGAACGCUUAUUUCAACAGCAGCAACAGUUUGUCAGACACCUCGGUAGCUUGUUAGACAAAAUAGACAAACCAAUUAAGCUAUUUAGACGCUUUAGUGUGUAUUAACCACUGUGUUUUAAACCCACUUCUGUCGUCUAGUUAGUUAUCAGAUUUCAUUUCAUAUUUACGGUGUUGUUGUUAGUCAGCUAGCGGGCUGGUUAAGUUAGCAUUAGCCUAGCUAACAUCCCCGACCAUGACCCCGACCGACCACUAAGCUACUCCUUCUGCUAAAGAAGCGGUGGUCUGCUGGACGGAGGAAGAAGUUAUCGUGGAAGAGGAGACUGUUUCAAUACAAAAACAAGUAGAGGGAGAGAGACGGGACUAUCGCGGGUCCUGGGGAGGGCCUAACAACAUCAUGAUGCUGACGAGACAGAGAAGAAUCUCUCCGCAUCAGAACUGCUCAAGAAACACCAGCAGAGACCCACAUGGAAGACAUCUCAUUACUGCUCUGACUGUGGGAAACGUUGCAAAUCUUCAUCAGAACUUAAAAUACACCAGCGAGUACACACAGGAGAGAAACCUUAUAGCUGUGAUCAAUGUGCGAGGAGUUAAACUCAGUCAAGCUCCCUGAAAUCACACCAUAGAACACACACUGGAGAGAAACCUUUAAUCUGUGAUCAAUGUGGGAAGAGUUUUACUCAGCUAAGCAGCCUGACAGUACACAGGCGGGGACAUACAGGACAGAAACCUUAUAGCUGUGGUCAAUGUGGGAAGAGUUUUACUACAUCUAGCUAUCUAACUAAACACCAGAGAAUACACACAGGAUAUAUAUCUUAUGGCUGUGAUCACUGUGGGGAGAGUUUUAUUCGGCUACAAACCCUGAAAUCACACCAGAGAAUACACACUGGAGAGAAACCUCAUAGCUGUAAUCAAUGUGGGAAGAGAUACUCUGAUAAAAGAUCUGAUUAAACAUCAGAAAAUACAUGAAGGAGCUGUUUCAUGAUAUCAAUUAAUUAAUGUCACAAUGUAGAAUGUCUUAACAUUGUAGUAGGAGUAUUUUAAUGAUGUCAGAAUGUAGAACCCUAAACAUUUGUUAAAUUGAUAUUGGCCUCAAUGAAAAAAAUCCAGUCUCUGAAUCGAAAGAGUAUUAUCUAUGAGAUUUAUCAAAAAGUGACUAACAAAAAAAGAGUUCUGUUACAUUUAACAUGUUGGUGACCCACUUGAAUCAAAAUGCAACACUUCGAAAUGUUUAGGUUUUCAAUAUAUCCCAAACUGUUUCUGCUUAUUGGUUAUUGAUUUGGACAUGUUAAAACUGCGCUAUUCCCAUUUAGCAAAAUGUCAUUCAAAAGACGUUGAAAAUAAGACUAUGCCCGACGUCCAAUAUAUGUUGGUUGUAGUUGAAAGUGAAAGUUGAAAAGAUGUCUUUUCAGGUCGUUUUUUCAAUGACUUGAAAAAAAGCUUAAUUUCAAUGUACUUGCAGCUUAUACACAUGGAUGCAGUAUAAUAAAUUGGUCUAAUCAUUUUGAUUAACAAUCCUACAUCACUCCAGUAUUUCUUGACAACAUUCAAGUGCUAAUUGUCAUUAUUCCACUACUAAAGAAGUAUGACUCAAAUCACCUCAUAUUUCAUUUCCUCAUAUUUGCUUCCCUAUUAGAGAUGAGUUUUGUUUGGGCUUGUUCCAAGGGGACGAGAGUUCUA